Molecule: ribosomal RNA, 497 nt
Filed under: uncultured bacterium
Lineage: Bacteria
Description: partial 16S ribosomal RNA
Rfam family: Bacterial small subunit ribosomal RNA
Source: RNAcentral
GAUGAACGCUGGCGGCGUGCCUAAUACAUGCAAGUCGAGCGAACAGACGAGGAGCUUGCUCCUCUGACGUUAGCGGCGGACGGGUGAGUAACACGUGGAUAACCUACCUAUAAGACUGGGAUAACUUCGGGAAACCGGAGCUAAUACCGGAUAAUAUAUUGAACCGCAUGGUUCAAUAGUGAAAGACGGUUUUGCUGUCUCUUAUAGAUGGAUCCGCGCCGCAUUAGCUAGUUGGUAAGGUAACGGCUUACCAAGGCAACGAUGCGUAGCCGACCUGAGAGGGUGAUCGGCCACACUGGAACUGAGACACGGUCCAGACUCCUACGGGAGGCAGCAGUAGGGAAUCUUCCGCAAUGGACGAAAGCUUGACGGAGCAACGCCGCGUGAGUGAUGAAGGUCUUCGGAUCGUAAAACUCUGUUAUUAGGGAAGAACAAAUGUGUAAGUAACUAUGCACGUCUUGACGGUACCUAAUCAGAAAGCCACGGCUAACUACGUG